GUGCGGCCGUCGAUCAUGCCUGUCCCGGCGCAGCGGCGACAAA
This 43-nucleotide unclassified non-coding RNA is filed under the name Mesorhizobium prunaredense. The record is from RNAcentral. Lineage: Bacteria; Pseudomonadati; Pseudomonadota; Alphaproteobacteria; Hyphomicrobiales; Phyllobacteriaceae.